GUGAGUGCAGGUGUGCAGAGUUCAGAAUUCUCUUCAACUAAAGUUACGGGUAAUUCUGAGCUGCCCAACAGUGCUGGAGACUGAACUUGCAUCAUCUUCAAGAGCAAUGCAUGCUGUCAAUGACUGAUCCAUCUCUCCAUCCCUGGAAUGUCUACUUACAGGAGUGAUUCUCGAGAGAUCAUGAGAUAUCCACGUGUGUGUUCAUCUAUGUCCCUGACAUGGGUUGCUAAGCAACAGUGAGGUAGAAAAGCAGGAAGUGGUAAUGAGAAGACAACUCAGUGGAGAAGAGUACAUUGCACACAUGCGUGAGGACUUACAUUUGGAUCCCAGCACCCAUGAAAAAAGACAGAAUUGAAAAUAAGAAUCUGAUUUGCUCCCUCUGCUGGAGAGAUGAUUUUGAGCCCUGCAAAGUGAUGUACUCGUUUUUGCUUCUCUAACUAAAGAACUCAGUUGGUAAUCAAAAGUCACGGCACCCAGGGAGGGAAGGAGAAGUCUGCUUCUACAUUCACUGCUACAUUCCAUUUCAAAAAGAAGCCAAAUAAAGAGACUUACUUUUGGAAAAUGUUUUCUUGAAAAGGGAGAAUUACAUCUGCUUUCUAUAACUUCCGUUACUGUUUGUUCCAUGGGGUCUCUUCCUGCAGCUGCUUGUCUAUCAGGAUGGCCAGUGUUUUGUGUUCAUUCGUAGCUGGUGUGGACUCUUGAGGACUGCCUAUUAAAGCACCCGUGCCCGGCAAACACAGCAGAGCGUUCCUCCA
Molecule: long non-coding RNA, 755 nt
Organism: Mesocricetus auratus (golden hamster)
Lineage: Eukaryota; Metazoa; Chordata; Mammalia; Rodentia; Cricetidae
Exons: 3
Source: RefSeq, a predicted model, not a curated record